This is a long non-coding RNA of Sphaeramia orbicularis (orbiculate cardinalfish), 984 nucleotides long. RefSeq lists it as uncharacterized. NCBI's taxonomy places the organism in Eukaryota, Metazoa, Chordata, Actinopteri, Kurtiformes, Apogonidae. The record is from RefSeq and is a predicted model, not a curated record. The transcript is spliced from 2 exons.
GCAUUAGACGGUUUGAACUUAAGGAGUGUAACACUGUUUUUUUGCUGAUACCAGUGAAUAUAAAGUCAUUCUGUUCAGUGUAUAUACGGACCGUUUCCUGUUUGCCUGUCUCGUGUGUUCAUGCUGUAAUAAGUGAAGCUUAGCAUCAUGCUGUCUGUAUAUGUAUCCCAACCCUCACCAUCUCUGCUGGCCCCAUUGUACAGUAAUGUAAAAAAAUAUAUAUAUAAUCGGACUGUGUGUAUGUAUGUGUUUAUCUUUGCUUUUGUUUUUUUGGGUGGGUAUGUGUGAUCUCUGCCGGUGGGAGGGGGUUUGAGUACGGUUUCAUUUGGGUUUUUGUUUUUGAUUUGUCAUUUUCUUGUAGUGUAGUGUAGACAACGUCAGGUGUAUUACGUACUCAGUGUGUAGUGGAUUAGCGCUUACAGCUGAGCCUGCAUGUAGGGCGGGCAUAGUGUCAGUAUUGAUGUCAAUGUAUCUCUAAUCUAUCAGAAAUAGCCAAGUCCUAUUCUGCUAAUAAUAUACAGUCUAUCUUUAAAAAAAAAAAAAAAACAGAUUUUGUACUAAAAGAGGAGAAAGAUAACUACAUAUUUUAUCUUCCAGUUUUAAUCAUUGUUUAUCCAUGUUCAAUGACACUUCUUUUUUUUUUUCUUUUCUUGUUUUUUGUUUUGUUUUUUAAGUUGUAUUGAUAGUAAAAUAAAAAAAAAUAUAUAUAUGAUAAAGCCAGCUGAUAUUAAAAGCAUUGCCAAACAAAAAGCUUUGGAUCGAAACUUGAACUACAGAAGAAUGAUUAGUUUUUACUGUGAACAUUGAUGUAGACAGAGGCUGCAGCUACAUGACGAUGCUUUUUUUUGUAAAAGCAGUAUUUUAAAAAACUAUUUUAGGCAGUGAAGUACCAACAACAGUACACCACUGUUUACCCUUUAAGAGUCUGUGGGCCCUAACUCUGUUUGGCUUAUUCUGUCUGGUUGACAUGUUAAAAACUGUGGG